GUAUGUUCUUGUCCCUAGAUCCUCCUUUCUCUUUCUGCUUCCUGGUGGCCAUGAGAUGAACAGCUUCCCUCAUAUAUUCCAUUCUGCCAAGACAGAAUGGAGCCAGCUGACUAUGAGCUGAAUCCACUGAAACUAUGAGCCAAAAUAAACCUCUCCUCCUAUAAGUUGUGGAUGUUGGUUUGUGCUAGUGAUGGGAAAGUGACUAAUACACCAUGUGAUCUGUUGUGCAUGUACUCCCACCAUGGGAUCUAUCCCCCACGUUACAAUGCAACCAGAAGGCUCUCACCAGUGGCAGACCAGAUGGAGCCACCCAACCUUGGACUUUCAGCCUCCAAAAUUAUAAACUAAACUUCUUCUCUCUAUAACUUUGUCAGCCACAGGUAUCUUGUUAUAGCAACACAAAAUAGACUAAGACAUUCAGUAUCAUUAUGUAAGGCAAUACUUUAAGAGGCCUUCACAGUCUACCAGAUGAGAGAGUAAAACAUUCCCACCUUUUAGAGCAGUGGUUCUCUAUUGGGGGACAAUUUUGCCUUCCAGAGCCAUCUGUUGAUGUCCAAGAUGUGUGUAAUAAUCAAACCUGGGGGAGAAAGAAGAGUCUGGGAGAAGAGGCUGCUACUGGGAUGUGGCCACAAAACCACGUUGGUAUCUGAUCUCUUCAUACUUCUGCUGGGAGGUGAAAUGGAAGAGGCUUCAUUCUUGACACCCACUGUCUUCUUCAGGUCACUUUCCUGGGAACCCCUAAGGACACCCAGAAAUGACUCACAUCCCUCUAGAGACACAUUCGAAUACCUCUCCCCCACUUCAAUCUGGACAAGCCUGUAACUUGCUCAGAGGCAGUGAAGGUACUCUUGCUUCCAAGGCUGGAUCAUAAAAGGUAAUUCUGGGAUGAUCAUACUGGAGCCCUGAGGCUGCUAUGCUCAGAAGAAGCCUAAACUAGACCACAUGGAGAGACCACAAGGGGAGACCACAUGGAGAGACCCUGAUUCUUCCUGAAGAGGAGAAGCCUAGCAAACCACCCCUUCUCUGGCUCCUGUCACCAUCUGACCAUUUGACUGCAAUCACAGGACAGUCCUCUCCAAAUUCCUGAUCCACAGAGAUUAUAAAAGAAAAUGAUUGUGUUGCCUUAAA
Heterocephalus glaber (naked mole-rat) is the source of this 1128-nucleotide non-coding RNA. The record is from RefSeq and is a predicted model, not a curated record. NCBI's taxonomy places the organism in Eukaryota, Metazoa, Chordata, Mammalia, Rodentia, Bathyergidae.